GAUGAAUGCUGGCGGCGUGCCUAAUACAUGCAAGUCGAGCGAACAGACGAGGAGCUUGCUCCACUGACGUUAGCGGCGGACGGGUGAGUAACACGUGGAUAACCUACCUAUAAGACUGGGAUAACUUCGGGAAACCGGAGCUAAUACCGGAUAAUAUAUUGAACCGCAUGGUUCAAUAGUGAAAGACGGUUUUGCUGUCACUUAUAGAUGGAUCCGCGCCGCAUUAGCUAGUUGGUAAGGUAACGGCUUACCAAGGCAACGAUGCGUAGCCGACCUGAGAGGGUGAUCGGCCACACUGGAACUGAGACACGGUCCAGACUCCUACGGGAGGCAGCAGUAGGGAAUCUUCCGCAAUGGGCGAAAGCCUGACGGAGCAACGCCGCGUGAGUGAUGAAGGUCUUCGGAUCGUAAAACUCUGUUAUUAGGGAAGAACAAAUGUGUAAGUAACUAUGCACGUCUUGACGGUACCUAAUCAGAAAGCCACGGCUAACUACGUG
RNAcentral lists this ribosomal RNA (497 nucleotides) under uncultured bacterium. RNAcentral's name for it is "partial 16S ribosomal RNA". It matches the Rfam family "Bacterial small subunit ribosomal RNA", at positions 28 to 507 of the family's 1533-position model. The record is from RNAcentral.